This is a long non-coding RNA of Mya arenaria, 1706 nucleotides long. RefSeq lists it as uncharacterized. The record is from RefSeq and is a predicted model, not a curated record. NCBI's taxonomy places the organism in Eukaryota, Metazoa, Mollusca, Bivalvia, Myida, Myidae. The transcript is spliced from 4 exons.
CUCGUUGGGAAUUCCUCUGUUAUCUAGUUUCGAUUUGCUUACUUCUUAGUACUUUCGUAUCGACGUCAGAAGAAAUAAUGCCAAGUUAAUAGUAUAAAUAACAAUGGGGAUUUUCAACAGCCAUUAUGUAUGUCAUUCCGAUCAUAAACACACAUCGAAGUAUGACUUGGAUGAAUGCAACAAACUUUCGAAAGAAAGAAUCAAACUGGAAAAUAGACGGCGAUGCUGUGUAUUCUCUUGUUGUGUCGCCGACGCUACUGCAACUGCAGACAUCAACUUUUCACUUCGCAAUAAAUCCACAGGGUCGGUUCAAGACAAAAUGGUGGAAGCUAUGAAACAAAAGGCUAAAAAGAAAUGAUGAUACUUUCGUGCAUACAGUUACAAAGUUUGGUGGCAUUAUACGCAUGAGUAUAAGUUAAAUCCUUUACGUUUAAUCCGUUUUAAUACUGUGUGCUCCAUCUGAGAAUUUCAUAGGUUCAACAAUAUUAAAACAAUCAUCGAGACACUCAAAAGUAUAUGAAUUUUGCAAUUUUUAUUUCAUGCAUAAACUAUGUUCUGUACUUUAAGCCUCAACCGUGUACUUAAUUUAUGCAUCAAACGUGUAGUGCACGUCAUGUAUCAACCGUGUACUUAACUAAUGCAUCAAAUGUGAAGUGCACGUCAUGCAUCAACCGUGUAGUUUACUUCAUGCAUCAAGUGUGUAGUGUAAGCGUUGCAUCAACCGUGUAGUUUAUUUCAUGCAUCAAGUGUGUAGUGUAAGCGAUGCAUCAACCGUGUAGUUUACUUCAUGCAUCAAGUGUGUAGUGUAAGCGUUGCAUCAACCGUGUAGUUUACUUCAUGCAUCAAGUGUGUAGUGUAAGCGAUGCAUCAACCGUGUAGUUUACUUCAUACAUCAAGUGUGUAGUGUAAGCGAUGCAUCAACCGUGUAGUUUACUUCAUGCAUCAAGUGUGUAGUGUAAGCGAUGCAUCAACCGUGUAGUUUACUUCAUGCAUCAAGUGUGUAGUGUGAGCAAUGCAUCAACCGUGUAGUUUACUUCAUGCAUCAAGUGUGUAGUGUGAGCAAUGCAUCAACCGUGUAGUUUACUUCAUGCAUCAAGUGUGUAGUGUGAGCAAUGCAUCAACCGUGUAGUUUACUUCAUGCAUCAAGUGUGUAGUGUGAGCAAUGCAUCAACCGUGUAGUUUACUUCAUGCAUCAAGUGUGUAGUGUAAGCGAUGCAUCAACCGUGUAGUUUACUUCAUGCAUCAAGUGUGUAGUGUGAGCGAUGCAUCAACCGUGUAGUUUACUUCAUGCAUCAAGUGUGUAGUGUGAGCGAUGCAUCAACCGUGUAGUUUACUUCAUGCAUCAAGUGUGUACUGUAAGCGAUGCAUCAACCGUGUAGUUUACUUCAUGCAUCAAGUGUGUAGUGUGAGCGAUGCAUCAACCGUGUACUAAACCUAAAUGACCGAGGUGUUCAGAUUGCCGUACAGUGGACUAAAAUAUGUUCUUUGUCUUUAUUUUAUUCUUUUUCUGAUACGUGUAUACAAAUAGCUUAUCCAGAAUCAUUUAAAUUUAAAUAUAUAAACUUUAUGCAUAUUGUCAGAUUGACUUGUGUACCAAAUUACAUAACAUGCACCUUGUAUUUAUUAAUGUUUGAGAACGACCGACGCUAUGUUUAAACUUACUGGGAUUUACGUGGUAGACAACCCCAGUAAAUUUCAAUUUGGAA